This 72-nucleotide transfer RNA is filed under the name Rhipicephalus sanguineus (brown dog tick). Its description in RNAcentral is "transfer RNA alanine (anticodon UGC)". It matches the Rfam family "tRNA". From Rfam's summary of the family: Transfer RNA (tRNA) molecules are approximately 80 nucleotides in length. Their secondary structure includes four short double-helical elements and three loops (D, anti-codon, and T loops). Further hydrogen bonds mediate the characteristic L-shaped molecular structure. tRNAs have two regions of fundamental functional importance: the anti-codon, which is responsible for specific mRNA codon recognition, and the 3' end, to which the tRNAs corresponding amino acid is attached (by aminoacyl-tRNA synthetases). tRNAs cope with the degeneracy of the genetic code in two manners: having more than one tRNA (with a specific anti-codon) for a particular amino acid; and 'wobble' base-pairing, i.e. permitting non-standard base-pairing at the 3rd anti-codon position. The record is from Rfam by way of RNAcentral. Lineage: Eukaryota; Metazoa; Arthropoda; Arachnida; Ixodida; Ixodidae.
GGGGGUGUAGCUCAGUGGUAGAGCGCUCGCUUUGCAUGUGAGAUGUCCCGGGUUCAAACCCCGGCACCUCCA